UGGAUCCAGACUUUGAUUCUGGCUCAGGAUGAACGCUAGCUACAGGCUUAACACAUGCAAGUCGAGGGGAAACGACAUCGAAAGCUUGCUUUUGAUGGGCGUCGACCGGCGCACGGGUGAGUAACGCGUAUCCAACCUGCCCACCACUUGGGGAUAACCUUGCGAAAGUAAGACUAAUACCCAAUGACGUCUCUAGAAGACAUCUGAAGGAGAUUAUAGAUUUAUCGGUGAUGGAUGGGGAUGCGUCUGAUUAGCUUGUUGGCGGGGUAACGGCCCACCAAGGCGACGAUCAGUAGGGGUUCUGAGAGGAAGGUCCCCCACAUUGGAACUGAGACACGGUCCAAACUCCUACGGGAGGCAGCAGUGAGGAAUAUUGGUCAAUGGACGAGAGUCUGAACCAGCCAAGUAGCGUGCAGGAUGACGGCCCUAUGGGUUGUAAACUGCUUUUAUAAGGGAAUAAAGUGAGAGUCGUGACUCUUUUUGCAUGUACCUUAUGAAUAAGGACCGGCUAAUUCCGUGCCAGCAGCCGCGGUAAUACGGAAGGUCCGGGCGUUAUCCGGAUUUAUUGGGUUUAAAGGGAGCGUAGGCCGGAGAUUAAGCGUGUUGUGAAAUGUAGACGCUCAACGUCUGCACUGCAGCGCGAACUGGUUUCCUUGAGUACGCACAAAGUGAGCGGAAUUCGUGGCGUAGCGGUGAAAUGCUUAGGUAUCACGAAGAACUCCGAUUGCGAAGGCAGCUCACUGGAGCGCAACUGACGCUGAAGCUCGAAAGUGCGGGUAUCGAACAGGAUUAGAUACCCUGGUAGUCCGCACGGUAAACGAUGGAUGCCCGCUGUUGGUCUGAAUAGGUCAGCGGCCAAGCGAAAGCAUUAAGCAUCCCACCUGGGGAGUACGCCGGCAACGGUGCAACUCAAAUGAAUUGACGGA
This 926-nucleotide ribosomal RNA is filed under the name uncultured Bacteroidota bacterium. RNAcentral describes it as "bacterial SSU rRNA". It matches the Rfam family "Bacterial small subunit ribosomal RNA", at positions 1 to 917 of the family's 1533-position model. The record is from RNAcentral. Lineage: Bacteria; Pseudomonadati; Bacteroidota.